Molecule: non-coding RNA, 285 nt
Organism: Vicia faba (fava bean)
Lineage: Eukaryota; Viridiplantae; Streptophyta; Magnoliopsida; Fabales; Fabaceae
Source: the annotation of a GenBank genome assembly
AUGAAAGCAAAGGUAUCAAAUUGUUUGGGUAAUGGCAUGUCUUCUGGAAACACAAUAUCUAUUUCAAAAAUAGUGAGCACCAAUAGUGAUUCAAAUAUUAGUUUCGCUCCACAGCUCAACCUUUAUACAGAACCUGGCACCCUCGAAUUAGCCCCCCCCCCCCUGUAUGCAAUAAACUAUGAUCCUCUCGCUCCUUGUUACUUCUUAUCUUCCCAUGUGGCUGCCUUGUUUAACAUGUCAACUGCAUCCUUGUGCGUGUUCAGCUUUGCAAGAGCAACUGACUGA